This 253-nucleotide ribosomal RNA is filed under the name uncultured bacterium. RNAcentral's name for it is "partial 16S ribosomal RNA". It matches the Rfam family "Bacterial small subunit ribosomal RNA", at positions 524 to 776 of the family's 1533-position model. The record is from RNAcentral.
UACGGAGGGGGCUAGCGUUGUUCGGAAUUACUGGGCGUAAAGCGCACGUAGGCGGCUUUCUAAGUCGGGGGUGAAAUCCUGGAGCUCAACUCCAGAACUGCCUUCGAUACUGGAAAGCUCGAGUCCGGGAGAGGUGAGUGGAACUGCGAGUGUAGAGGUGAAAUUCGUAGAUAUUCGCAAGAACACCAGUGGCGAAGGCGGCUCACUGGCCCGGUACUGACGCUGAGGUGCGAAAGCGUGGGGAGCAAACAGG